GGGGGUAUAGCUCAGCUGGGAGAGCAGCAGACUGAAGUUGCCUUUGAAACAAAGAAACAAUUCUGAAGGUCCCGCGUUCGAUCCGCGGUACCCCCA
Non-coding RNA from Marasmius oreades (fairy-ring Marasmius), 96 nucleotides. Lineage: Eukaryota; Fungi; Basidiomycota; Agaricomycetes; Agaricales; Marasmiaceae. The record is from the annotation of a RefSeq genome assembly.